CAGGCCUAACACAUGCAAGUCGAACGUGUGCCACUUUCUUCGGAUUUUGACAUGAGUGGCGGACGGGUGAGUAACGCGUAAGAAUCUACCUUUAGGAGGGGGGCAACAGUUGGAAACGACUGCUAAUUCCCCAUAAGCUGAGGAGUGAAAGGAAUUUCGCCUAGAGAUGAGCUUGCGUCUGAUUAGCUAGUUGGUAAGGUAAUGGCUUCCCAAGGCAAUGAUCAGUAGCUGGUCUGAGAGGACGAUCAGCCACACUGGGACUGAGACACGGCCCAGACUCCUACGGGAGGCAGCAGUGAGGAAUUUUCCGCAAUGGGCGCAAGCCUGACGGAGCAAUACCGCGUGGAGGACGACGGCCUGUGGGUCUUAAACUCCUUUUCUUAGAGAAGAAGUUCUGACGGUAUCUAAGGAAUAAGCAUCGGCUAACUCCGUGCCAGCAGCCGCGGUAAUACGGGGGAUGCAAGCGUUAUCCGGAAUGAUUGGGCGUAAAGCGUCUGUAGGUGGCUUCUCAAGUCGGCUGUCAAAAAUCAGGGCUUAACCUUGAGCCGGCAGUUGAAACUAAGAAGCUUGAGUUAGGUAGGGGCAGAGGGAAUUCCUAGUGUAGCGGUGAAAUGCGUAGAUAUUAGGAAGAACACCAAUCGCGAAAGCA
This 649-nucleotide ribosomal RNA is filed under the name uncultured bacterium. Its description in RNAcentral is "bacterial SSU rRNA". It matches the Rfam family "Bacterial small subunit ribosomal RNA", at positions 43 to 723 of the family's 1533-position model. The record is from RNAcentral.